This is a long non-coding RNA of Capsicum annuum, 1258 nucleotides long. RefSeq lists it as uncharacterized. The record is from RefSeq and is a predicted model, not a curated record. NCBI's taxonomy places the organism in Eukaryota, Viridiplantae, Streptophyta, Magnoliopsida, Solanales, Solanaceae. The transcript has 2 exons.
AACCUAAAUUUAAAACCUCAUCACUCGCCUGAUCCGAUCCGGCCCAAACAUUAUUCCUCCACUUAUCCAGCAUACACCGACAACAACUUCAACAUCGGCAAAAACAUACAAACAACAUCUCACCAUACAACCCAACAUUUCCAUCAAACAACAGCCUCAAACGAUGCCCCAACACCAUCAAAACCUCAUGGGGUUUUGUCAGAAACUCCAUUUAAUUCCCUCAAAGCUUCUAGGAAUGCAACACCUCGUCGAAGCCAGCAUUCAAAUCCCUUAAGGUGUAGCAAAAUUCCAGCAAUCUAGUACUAUACAGUACAUACAUGAACCAUGCUCAUUGGUUUGGACUUUUCCCAAAUUCCCAAAUUUUUAUUUUACCCUAAUUGAAUUGCAAGUGUGUGGGAAUACACUAGGUUUGUUGUUGUUGUUUGUUGUUGUUGUUGUUGAAUCGCAAGUGUCCAAUUGCCCACGAUUUUGUGCCCUAUAGUACUAACGUGGCUCAAUUAGGUAGAAUUCAAUUCGAUUUUCAAAAACCCUUAUCCAAAAAGACAUAAGUCCCUAAUCUACACCUUUGUUUCCACCCAAAAUGCCCCGCCUUUCUUUUAUAUAUAAAUUGGCAGUGAGUUAAAGGCUGAAGGAAGAGUGAUUUUUGGAAAAAAAAUUAAAAAUUCGAGAGGCGCAUGCUCCUAUCGGACAAAACCAAAACUCACGAAGAAAUAUAUUCAAAUUUCGGAAAUAAAUUGUGGAUCUUCGACGAGUCUGAAUUUGAACUCUGGUGAAAUAAAUUUGAUAAUACAGUUUCGGUGGAAGUUUCGUCUCUGAAAACUUGUAUUCCCAAUGUGCUGCUUUAGAAAAGGUAUGGAUUAACCAAUCCCAUAAGAGGAUUCAAGAUAAUGAUUAAGUCGAACGAUUGGUGGAAAUAUAUGAGUGCGCAAGACGGUAAAAUCCUUAUAAUGCAUAUCGGAUAUUUGUCUUUCCUUGGAAGCUUUAAUUUUGUAGAAGACAUCCGAUCACCAACAGGUAUCGUGUAUGGCAUGAGGUGGGUUUACCCAAGAAGGCGAAGGCCGACAAGGGAUCAUUCGGAUACUAGUGUUUUCUAUUGUCAACUUUGUGAGUUUGUUUUCCUCGCAUUUUAUUUUUCCUUUCCCCAAAGAUUAUAUUCCCCAUUUGCUAUUCUGUAGGCAUUUAUGCCUUUUUUGAUAUUUAUGAAAAUUAUUUCUGAAUUCAUCAUAAGUAUGGAAACUGUAAAUCAAUUACAUCUAAA